GAGCGUCAACCCUUGUCGUUAGUUGCUACAUUCAGUUGGGCACUCUGAUGAGACUGCCGGUGACAAGCCGGAGGAAGGUGGGGAUGACGUCAAGUCCUCAUGGCCCUUAUAGGUGGGGCUACACACGUCAUACAAUGGCUGGUACAAGGGUUGCCAACCGCGAGGGGGAGCUAAUCCCAUAAAGCCAGUCGUAGUCCGGAUCGUAGUCUGCAACUCGACUACGUGAAGUCGGAAUCGCUAGUAAUCGUGGAUCAGAAUGUCACGGUGAAUACGUUCCCGGGUCUU
This 285-nucleotide ribosomal RNA is filed under the name uncultured Rhodoferax sp. RNAcentral describes it as "partial 16S ribosomal RNA". It matches the Rfam family "Bacterial small subunit ribosomal RNA", at positions 1094 to 1382 of the family's 1533-position model. Lineage: Bacteria; Pseudomonadati; Pseudomonadota; Betaproteobacteria; Burkholderiales; Comamonadaceae. The record is from RNAcentral.